Long non-coding RNA from Drosophila innubila, 244 nucleotides. RefSeq lists it as uncharacterized. The record is from RefSeq and is a predicted model, not a curated record. NCBI's taxonomy places the organism in Eukaryota, Metazoa, Arthropoda, Insecta, Diptera, Drosophilidae. The transcript has 2 exons.
GAACACAAGUUUGCUAAGUACACUGCAAGUACAAUUGCGGCUUCAAGUAUUGCCGCAUCAGUCACUGAACUUCAAUGGGAUCAAAGUACUGAUCAGAACAUUAAUUUUUUGCUGAACCUUCUAACUGAUCUAACUAGUGUGGAGCAGGAUGAACUACAGCAGUGUAUGAUGCAAAUGGAAGCCAUAUUUAAAGAACACAGUCAGAACUUGCAACCGUAUAUUGUUUCCAUUCAGAAGCCUCAAA